Molecule: long non-coding RNA, 4045 nt
Organism: Athalia rosae (coleseed sawfly)
Lineage: Eukaryota; Metazoa; Arthropoda; Insecta; Hymenoptera; Athaliidae
Exons: 3
Source: RefSeq, a predicted model, not a curated record
UGGAAAUCGACACCAUCGGGAGGGUCAGCCAUCGUUGAUGGCGAUUUCCAUCGAGUGAUCAUUAACAGAUGUGAGAGAAUUUUUCGUUCCGAUACAGAACAUUGGCCGCUUACUUUUCUCUACGGUCAGUCAGUUAGGUUAAACCUGAUUCUACGCCGCAUUGCAGGUUCUAUUAUUUUAUGCUACCUAUGCUAUUGAAUGUUGGAUACACUCUGACAAUGAGACAGCGAACGAGAGAUUUCUUUGCAAAUUAUCUCAACAAAUACACGGUUGCGAAAAUGCGUGACAAGCGUUGAGAAACGAGGGUGACCAUUUGCCGGCUCGUUGAUAAGCUCUUAAAUGCGAUAGAAGCUCCAAACUCCGUCAACCCCACCGUGAACGACCCCUUACUUCUUCAUGGUUCUGUAUUCAGCUUCACACACGACGUGUUAUCACGUUUUCACAAAUAUACACAGUCACGCUUGUACGAAGGGCUCGGGGCUCGCCGUCAUCCGGUGUGUUUCUUUCUCCAUCGGAAAAUUUGACUUUCCGAUAGUGAUCAUUCAUCUGGAUUCGAGAUGGAAUUUCGGUUUGGAUAAUUUUUACAUUCAAACGUGAAAAUCUGUCAGCUGUAACUAGUUGGAGAAAUGGUGUCCGUGUUAUCCGUUCGUUUCGUCAUUAGUUCAGUUCUGUUCGGAAAAGUUUCAUUGGUGGUUUCGGUUAACCAGGGUUGGCGUGGGCUAAAUUCGACAGGGGCUGGAAUACGGGUCCCUUUACGACCCUGACGGGAGAGAUAUCUACGAUGCGCGUAAGAAUUCUCAAUUGUCAAUUGCUUUCACGUUUACAUCCGACGAUUCGCACCUUCCGUCGUUUUUAUUCUCGUCACCCCACUGACGCGAAUUAUUAUCAUGGAUUAUUAUGGAUAUUAUGUAUUUGCAGAAAAUGGAUACAAGUUACCCUUGCCUUUGAAUGAACAGUGACCUGUCAAUUACUUACCGAUAUUUCAUUGAAGACCAAGAAAUUAAUUGUUAUUUUUUUUAGUACUCGCUCUGCGCUCGAAGAUCAUAUUUCACAUCUAUUUUGCUUCAACUGAAUUUCAUCAACUUUUCCUGUUUCAGUUGACUCAGUAAUUUCGACUCAAGAUGGCCAUGCUUCAUUCACAGUACAUGACGAGUCCGUGUACUCAUGCGGUAAUUUUAAUUGUUUUACCCACACGUUUUUCCUGCCAUGAAUUUUCUCAUCAACCUAGAAUGAGAUAUGGUUGGUGAAGAUGGCGAUCCCAUCACCCUUCCGAAGAGAUUCGGAGAUUAGGAGGAACGAGCGCGAGAUCCGGAAUCGAAGAAAUGAGAUGAGAUGCGCACGUUGAGUUCGGUAUAAUUUUCACGCCAGCCAAAGACGGAAAGAAAAGCACCAACCGUGAUCGGAAUUGUGCAAAAUUCAUUCGGUCCAAAGUCAAUUCUAGAAUUUUGUCGCUGCCACGUGUCGAUUGGUUGAGAUGACGUACAGAAAUUAUGCAAAUGCCUUGCAAACCAAUGAAACACAAGCCGGAAGCAAUUUGAAUUUAGAACAACCGACUUGUGAAACAUGUCAGAAUUGGAAAACACUCAACGUAUUCAAGGCAAUCAAGAGCUCCAUUAUCCUGGGAAGAAGACGGAUGCUCAUCUUUAUAUAUAGAUAUUAUCGGUUCCCCGAUAAGUACCUAGCUACUUUCCUUCCAAGUGAUCAAUUAAUAAUUUCCCGAGGUUUGAUCAACAGUUUUCUCAAGAGAGUAGAAAGUUCCAUAGCCAUUCUUCACCCUUGAAGUGAAGUACAUCCUCGAUUGAACGGAGAUAUCGACGCUAUGGUAUAAGUAUUUCAAUUGCAGGUCUACAAGUUAUCGAAGUUAUUCGCAGCUCGGUGAAAUUUCGAGAGAUCAUCUCGUGAGUACGCAUAAUAUACGUAGGCAGAUAUUUUAUGUACUUUAUGUACGUACUCAUAACUCAAAAGAUAAAACUAAAGUCGUUAAGAUACGGAGGCUCCGUUUUAACGGGUAUAUAUGGGGCAGAUAUAGAAUCGAUCCCCGUCAAACUCAUGCAUCGUACUGUUCAAGGCUAAUCGGGUUUCUCUCCUGGUCCUCGUCACUCGCUUGCCUAUUCCGUAUCGAGUGAGACUCGACGGGCGUUCCGAUACAUUAUCGCUGUCGAAAUUGGCAACUGUAAUGUACAUUGAGAACAGAGUCGAAACUCAAUAGAAUCAAUACCCAGAUGCGCAAUUAUGAAUUACCCUCGCCAAAUCUUAUAGCCAACUUCCCAAUUAGAAGCGAAAAUACAAGUAAUAACAUAAUCAAUACUCAACCGAUAAUUGGGAGAGCUAUGAAUGUCAGCCGGGACGGAGACUGUAAGAAGUUGGAAAAAAAUCAUGGGAGACAUCAUAAAAUCGUACUUCAAGUAGUUCGAAAAGCCACAUCAUAAACGUUGUGUAAAACGUCUUCGAUGAGGUGUUUCUUGAUCUUUAUUGCCGGCGAUAUACCGUCUACUUUGCACGGUGAAAAGUCCAAUGCUUCAGUCUCGGUCUCGAAGGAAUCGUUAAAUUAGCGAGGUUACGAGUGGGCGAGCUCGAGUAGAAACAUCUUUAGUUCUCGAAGUUGUUUCCGAUUGCUUUUUGAGUCUACUGACUCUCGUUAACGACCGUCGGAUUGGAGGAAUUGCCUCUAAUUAUCGCAAACCCGAUCGCGAAGCCUACCAAACAGAGCUUACCAACUUCAGGGUUGCAUUGUGUCUACGAACACAUAAUAACGACAUUCUCACGACACUUCACCAGGUCGGAAAAAGUGUCGGGGUCCCGCUAAACUUAGCGACUAGAAUUCCCCGUGAAAAUUUAUCAGCAGAAUAAAAGGUUCGAGACCUUGAAAUUGAUUAUCUGUAAAUUUGGCGAGCCCGGUAAUCGCGAAACCUUUCCUUUCCUUUCAUUGUUUCCCUUCCGAAAAUAAUUUGCAAAUCCAAUUUCAGAUGAGGCUCGUAAUCGAGGCGGGACUCCCAGAUUUCGUUCUUCAUCUCUCAUCGCUGACAUACAACGGUCUUCGGAGUCGAGUCGCUGAGGAUUUUAUUCAUAUUCAGUUAUCGAGUUUAAUAUGGAUGUCACAAUGACGACGAUAUUUAAAACGGCUUGGCAAACCGUUCGAACCCCUCCGUCUGCCCCCUCCCGAUCUUGUUGUUGUUCAAAUAUUCUGUUAACCCGGGAAAUCAAGGCAUUGACAUUCGAAGCAGGAUAAUGUGGCUUCAGCGAUCUCGUGAAACGGCGGUAUAAUUCUCAAUACUCCGGGGAAUCAACGGAGUAUUAUUCCCACUUGUUGUUUGCUCGGGUUAUCGGUAUUAUAUUCAUUAUUCCGUGAUUGUUUGAUUAUGUUCGAUGAAUAGCUAAUGAUGAAAUGUCGGUGAAUGCCAUCCCACUUACGCAAAUAACGUAAGACGUGAUUUGUUUUCUUCGUACGAUUGGAGGUUGGACGAGUCGCACGAAUAGCGUAGUGCCGGAUCCAUCGAGUCUCGUGUGGCGUGAUGACUCGCGAUCUCUCAACACGCCACAGUGCGCGAGUCCCUCCUUCGAGUCAACAAACCAAACGUGCUCUUCCGCCUCGGCUUGUACUUUUUACUUCUAUGUUUCCAACUUAUGGCUCGAAGGCAUGCGAGCUUUGGAUCAUAACCGGGCGAAGCAUUAUCUGGAGUACGACCAUGAGAGCGAUGAAAUACGAACAGCUCAUCGCCGCGACAUUGUGGGAUUGCGGCAAAGCGCAGAUAUUAUCCGACACUACAGAGAUCACAAAGAAGAAAUAACAUAAAUAAGCGACGUGUUCAGGAUCGGGGAUCAGGGAGCUUGCGGCGGACUGUUGAUCCAUUCCGCACCCUUAAUAUGGCUCCGGUUAGCGACCGAAACGGAUCUGCUCUAGGGUUGGACUUUGCACAAAGCUUACGGAGAAGUAUCUUAAACUAUAUUUGACAAAAAUGUAGAAAAGUUAAUCACCACAUAACCGUCCAUUGCACCAAAUCAACUUUCACGUACGUACAAGUAAAAUGUCGUACUCACCAAUGGU